AACUCUCAACCUCCAACUUUUUUAUUAAGGUUGAAGGCUUGGACUUGAGCGCUGCUGGUUUUUAUUAACCGGCUCGCUUGAAAUGAAUUAGCAGAUCCUUUUUGUAAUCGGUUCCACUCGACGUGAUAAGUAUUUCGCCGAGGACAUACGAAAGUAUGGCCGAGAUAAAGAAAGUUUUUUAGAUCCGCUUCUAAUUCUUAGAUAGAGCUUGCUCUACUAAACCCCAUUUUAUG
RNAcentral lists this unclassified non-coding RNA (233 nucleotides) under Mrakia frigida. Its description in RNAcentral is "partial internal transcribed spacer 2". Lineage: Eukaryota; Fungi; Basidiomycota; Tremellomycetes; Cystofilobasidiales; Mrakiaceae. The record is from RNAcentral.